Molecule: ribosomal RNA, 294 nt
Filed under: uncultured bacterium
Lineage: Bacteria
Description: partial 16S ribosomal RNA
Rfam family: Bacterial small subunit ribosomal RNA
Source: RNAcentral
AUUUACCUACGGGGGGCAGCAGUCGGGAAUAUUGCGCAAUGGAGGAAACUCUGACGCAGUGACGCCGCGUAUAGGAAGAAGGUUUUCGGAUUGUAAACUAUUGUCGUGAGGGAAGAAGAUGACAGUACCUCAGGAGGAAGCUCCGGCUAACUAUGUGCCAGCAGCCGCGGUAAUACAUAGGGAGCAAGCGUUAUCCGGAAUUAUUGGGUGUAAAGGGUGCGCAGACGGGAAAUUAAGUUAGUUGUGAAGUCCCUUGGCUUAACUGAGGAACUUCAACUAAAACUGAUUUUCUUG